This 749-nucleotide long non-coding RNA is filed under the name Homo sapiens (human). RNAcentral's name for it is "HSALNT0387937". Lineage: Eukaryota; Metazoa; Chordata; Mammalia; Primates; Hominidae. The record is from RNAcentral.
GGGAACAGCACAGACGGCGUGGAGGCCUCCCCGGUGCAAACUCCGGCAGCCCCUACCACAUCCACCAAGCCCCCCCGAGAACAGUCAGUGGACGGCCCAGGUGCCGCGUGCCGGGACGACGAGCGCGGGCAGCAGAGAUGGCCCAGGUGGCAACAGAGAUGGCCCAGGUGGCAACAGAGACGGCCCAGGUGGCAACAGAGACGGCCCAGGUUCCGUGUGCCGGGGUUGGGAUUGCGGGCAACAGAGACGGGGCAGGUGCUGUGUGCCGGGGACAAGGCACAUGGGCAACAGAGACGGCCCAGGUGCCGUGUGCAGGGGGCAAGGCACGCGGGCAACAGAGACGGGGCAGACACAGGCUCCAAGCGCCAGCCCUGCCAUCCGCCAGCUCCUGGGCCUUGGCAAAGACGGCAGCACCACCUUAGCCCGGGAGCCAGAAACACAGAAUGUGACGCUCACGUACACAGAGAAGGCCAAGGUCACAGCACGAGAGGUGUCAAGGGAGGAGCAUGAGAGAUUAUCAAGAGAAGAAAAAGGGAGCUCGGAGCUCCGUAAGGGAGAGAGUGGCAGCAGCAGAUCAAACCCCGGAGCCCCUGCCCUGGGUGGGUGCCAGCUUCCCUGAGACAUUCCGUGCCUGUGACAUUGCUGUGUGCAGAGAUGAACGAGACGGGAAAAGCCACUGCACCCUGAAGAACUACAAUAUGGUGGGGGUGGCAGAUGCCAAUCAAUGACACAGAUACCUAUUUAACUAA